Molecule: ribosomal RNA, 468 nt
Filed under: uncultured bacterium
Lineage: Bacteria
Description: partial 16S ribosomal RNA
Rfam family: Bacterial small subunit ribosomal RNA
Source: RNAcentral
GACGAACGCUGGCGGCGUGCUUAACACAUGCAAGUCGAACGGAAAGGCCCUGCUUUUGUGGGGUGCUCGAGUGGCGAACGGGUGAGUAUCACGUGAGUAACCUGCCCUUGACUUUGGGAUAACUUCAGGAAACUGGGGCUAAUACCGGAUAGGAGCUCCUGCUGCAUGGUGGGGGUGGGAAAGUUUCGGCGGUUUGGGAUGGACUCGCGGCUUAUCAGCUUGUUGGUGGGGUAGUGGCUUACCAAGGCUUUGACGGGUAGCCGGCCUGAGAGGGUGACCGGCCACAUUGGGACUGAGGUACGGCCCAGACUCCUACGGGAGGCAGCAGUGGGGAAUAUUGCACAAUGGGCGGAAGCCUGAUGGAGCAACGCCGCGUGCGGGAUGACGGCCUUCGGGUUGUAACCCGCUUUCGCCUGUGACGAAGCGUGAGUGACGGUAAUGGGUAAAGAAGCACCGGCUAACUACGUG